Long non-coding RNA from Photinus pyralis (common eastern firefly), 823 nucleotides. RefSeq lists it as uncharacterized. The transcript has 2 exons. The record is from RefSeq and is a predicted model, not a curated record. Lineage: Eukaryota; Metazoa; Arthropoda; Insecta; Coleoptera; Lampyridae.
CUUUUUAAAAUGCAAACUCAUACACUGGACGGAGUAUGAGGGGCCUGGAUUUUCGAACAGUCGGCGUAUUAUAUGGUAUCACCCUGUAUGUUGUUAUGUUUAGUAUCGCUGCUGUUAUACAAUAGACACAGAAUAAUGUACACAUGUAGAAUGGCUAACACAUACAAUAAACGUUAAUCCACAUUUAUCUGUAUCAGUUGUCAUCAUCGUUAAUAAUACAGGUGGAGGAGGAGGAGGAUUUUCGCACCCUCGUUGAUGAUGUCGUCGCCUUGAAAAGAUCGGGGUAGUCACGCUUGCGAGGGCUGCUAUACUGUCGGCUGCGCUGCUGUCAUCACGCUUGCGAGGGCUACUACUAUCGCCUGCGCUGCUGUGAUAUCCGUACUGUAUUACUUUGACUUCUUUGGCAGGACUGCCAGGUUCGGCCCGUCGUUAUCGCCCUCUCCAUCCUUCGCCAAAAGGAGUUUCCUCGCAGCUGCCAAUAACCAACCCUCCUUUUCGAUGAUGAAUUUUAGCAUCUGGAUCUCCUCGCUGGUUGUAUACGGUGGUCUGUAACCGGACAUUUUUUUGCUUGGAGGCAGCAACACUAACACAGCAGAACUGAAUCUGAUAAAUAGCUACUUAAAAGAGCCCAACAGGAGCAAUGAUAUCUGAUAGAGGAGAACGCCGGAUAUUUAUAGUUUAGAUGAGUUUGAGAACAAGUGGGGCCGUUCUAGGAAAAGUGCGUCGUCUCUGAAAAUCUCCAGUGAUACAGUGUAAAAUGUUACAAAUAAAGCGCCUUAGAAUACAAUUCGAUUACUUUGUGGAUUAAAUAUUAUUUUGAGAA